Molecule: ribosomal RNA, 898 nt
Filed under: uncultured bacterium
Lineage: Bacteria
Description: bacterial SSU rRNA
Rfam family: Bacterial small subunit ribosomal RNA
Source: RNAcentral
GUUUGAUCCUGGCUCAGGAUGAACGCUAGCGGCAGGCUUAACACAUGCAAGUCGAGGGGUAUAGUUCUUCGGAACUAGAGACCGGCGCACGGGUGCGUAACGCGUAUGCAAUCUACCUUUUACAGAGGGAUAGCCCAGAGAAAUUUGGAUUAAUACCUCAUAGUAUAAUGAGUUGGCAUCAACACAUUAUUAAAGUCACAACGGUAAAAGAUGAGCAUGCGUCCCAUUAGCUUGUUGGUAAGGUAACGGCUUACCAAGGCAACGAUGGGUAGGGGUCCUGAGAGGGAGAUCCCCCACACUGGUACUGAGACACGGACCAGACUCCUACGGGAGGCAGCAGUGAGGAAUAUUGGACAAUGGGCGCAAGCCUGAUCCAGCCAUGCCGCGUGCAGGAUGACGGUCCUAUGGAUUGUAAACUGCUUUUGUACAGGAAGAAACACUGGUUCGUGAACCAGCUUGACGGUACUGUAAGAAUAAGGAUCGGCUAACUCCGUGCCAGCAGCCGCGGUAAUACGGAGGAUCCAAGCGUUAUCCGGAAUCAUUGGGUUUAAAGGGUCCGUAGGCGGUCAGAUAAGUCAGUGGUGAAAGCCCAUCGCUCAACGGUGGAACGGCCAUUGAUACUGUCUGACUUGAAUUAUUAGGAAGUAACUAGAAUAUGUAGUGUAGCGGUGAAAUGCUUAGAGAUUACAUGGAAUACCAAUUGCGAAGGCAGGUUACUACUAAUGGAUUGACGCUGAUGGACGAAAGCGUGGGUAGCGAACAGGAUUAGAUACCCUGGUAGUCCACGCCGUAAACGAUGGAUACUAGCUGUUGGGAGCAAUCUCAGUGGCUAAGCGAAAGUGAUAAGUAUCCCACCUGGGGAGUACGUUCGCAAGAAUGAAACCCAAAGGAAUUGACG